UCCGGUUUGGCACCGGCAGUCUUCCCAGAGUCCCCGGCUUUACCCGCUGGCAACUGAGAACGGGGGUUGCGCUCGUUGCGGGACUUAACCCAACAUCUCACGACACGAGCUGACGACAACCAUGCACCACCUGUGAACCAGCCCCAAAGGGGAAGAACUGUCUCCAGUCCGGUCCGGUCCAUGUCAAGCCUUGGUAAGGUUCUUCGCGUUGCGUCGAAUUAAGCCACAUGCUCCGCCGCUUGUGCGGGCCCCCGUCAAUUCCUUUGAGUUUUAGCCUUGCGGCCGUACUCCCCAGGCGGGGCGCUUAAUGCGUUAGCUGCGGCACGGAGAACGUGGAAGGUUCCCCACACCUAGCGCCCAACGUUUACGGCGUGGACUAC
This 380-nucleotide unclassified non-coding RNA is filed under the name uncultured Actinomycetes bacterium. RNAcentral's name for it is "uncultured actinobacterium contains 16S-23S intergenic spacer region". The record is from RNAcentral. Lineage: Bacteria; Bacillati; Actinomycetota; Actinomycetes.